This 1021-nucleotide long non-coding RNA is filed under the name Homo sapiens (human). RNAcentral's name for it is "non-protein coding lnc-NAIP-2:1". Lineage: Eukaryota; Metazoa; Chordata; Mammalia; Primates; Hominidae. The record is from RNAcentral.
GUCAACCGCCCAACGGCUGAGGAGUGCGGCAGCGCGCCAGAGACUGGCGGGCAGCUCCGCCCGCGGCCGGGAUGCACUAGGCAAAGCCAGCUGGGCUCCUGAGUCCGGUGGGUACUUGGAGAACUUACUACGUCUAGCUGGAGGAUUGUAAAUGCACCAAUCAGCAUGCUGUGUCUAGCUCAAGAACUCAAGCUCCAUGAGGAGAUGUUUCAUUGUCGAGAGCAGUCAUGAUGGCCUGCACUCCACACAAUGCAACAGAGUGAAAGAGCAGGUUCUGCUUCUUUGGUGUAGUCCUGAAGCUUCCUAAGAAACUUCACAUCAGGUGAUGGAUAGGAGCAACCCUGUAAAACCAGCCUUAGACUAUUUUUCAAACAGGCUGGUGAAUUACCAGAUCUCCGUCAAGUGCAGUAACCAGUUCAAGUUGGAAGUGUGUCUUUUGAAUGCAGAAAACAAAGUCGUGGACAACCAGGCUGGGACCCAGGGCCAGCUGAAGGUGCUGGGUGCCAACCUCUGGUGGCCGUACCUGAUGCACGAACACCCCGCCUACCUGUACUCGUGGGAGGAUGGUGAUUGCUCACACCAAAGCCUUGGACCCCUCCCAGCCUGUGACCUUUGGGACCAACUCCACCUACGCAGCAGACAAGGGGGCUCUGUAUGUGGAUGUGAUCCGUGUGAACAGCUACUACUCUUGGUAUCGCAACUACGGGCACCUGGAGUUGAUUCGGCUGCAGCUGGCCGCCCAGUUUGAGAAUUGGUGUAAGACAUCACAAUCCCAUUAUUCAGAGCGCGUAUGGAGUGGAAACGCUUGUAGGGUUUCACCAGUCUUUCCCAGGGAACUCCGAUGAAGUGUUCCAACAAAAUGAGCGAGUGAACCAAGAAGAGGAUGACAUUAGAUCCAGGAGAUACAACAGAGGAGAUAAUCUCCAGGAUGCCUGUGAAGAAAGAUCCCUGGAUCCCAGGAUGAUUAUAGGACAAGUUGUUCAUAAUCCAGCAGGCCAGAAGACUUCCAGGGAAACUCAUU